AGCUUUUUGAAUCCGUGCUGAGAUUUCAUCAGAUACCAACUCGCUAGGGCUGAUCAGACUUCCAAGAUAAGUGAAAUU
This 78-nucleotide microRNA precursor is filed under the name Schistosoma mansoni. Its description in RNAcentral is "mir-3492 microRNA precursor family". It matches the Rfam family "mir-3492 microRNA precursor family". The record is from Rfam by way of RNAcentral. Lineage: Eukaryota; Metazoa; Platyhelminthes; Trematoda; Strigeidida; Schistosomatidae.